This 403-nucleotide ribosomal RNA is filed under the name uncultured bacterium. RNAcentral's name for it is "partial 16S ribosomal RNA". It matches the Rfam family "Bacterial small subunit ribosomal RNA", at positions 30 to 526 of the family's 1533-position model. The record is from RNAcentral.
AUUGAACGCUGGCGGCAGGCCUAACACAUGCAAGUCGAGCGAGCGGCGGAGGGGUGAGGAAAGUAUGGGGACUGCCCGAUAGAGGGGGAUAACUACUGGAAACGGUAGCGAAUACCGCAUACUAUCGGAUAACCCAUAUGGGAUUAGCUAGUAGGUGAGGUAAUGGCUCACCUAGGCGACGCUCCCUAGCUGGUCUGAGAGGAGGAUCAGCCACACUGGGACUGAGACACGGCCCAGACUCCUACGGAGGCAGCAGUGGGGAAUAUUGCACAAUGGGCGCAGGCCUGAUGCAGCCAUGCCGCGUGUAUGAAGAAUGCCCUAGGGUUGUAAAGUACUUUAAGUCGGGAGGCGUUACCGACAGAAGAAGCACCGGGUAACUCCGUGCCAGCAGCCGCGGUAAUUC